RNAcentral lists this ribosomal RNA (449 nucleotides) under uncultured bacterium. Its description in RNAcentral is "bacterial SSU rRNA". It matches the Rfam family "Bacterial small subunit ribosomal RNA", at positions 355 to 796 of the family's 1533-position model. The record is from RNAcentral.
UGGGGAAUAUUGGACAAUGGGGGGAACCCUGAUCCAGCAAUGCCGCGUGUGUGAAGAAGGCCUGAGGGUUGUAAAGCACUUUCAGUGGGGAGGAGGAUUAUUAGGUUAAGAGCUAGAUAAUUGGACGUUACCCACAGAAGAAGCACCGGCUAACUCCGUGCCAGCAGCCGCGGUAAUACGGAGGGUGCGAGCGUUAAUCGGAAUUACUGGGCGUAAAGGGUGCGUAGGUUGUUUAUCAAGUUAGCUGUAAAAUUCCUGGGCUCAACCUGGGGUUGUCAUCUAAGACUGAUAGACUAGAGUAUGGUAGAGGGUAGUGGAAUUUCCGGUGUAGCGGUGAAAUGCGUAGAGAUCGGAAGGAACACCAGUGGCGAAGGCGGCUACCUGGGCUAAUACUGACACUGAGGCACGAAAGCGUGGGGAGCAAACAGGAUUAGAUACCCCCGUAGUCC